AUUGAACGCUGGCGGCAUGCCUUACACAUGCAAGUCGAACGGCAGCACGGGUGCUUGCACCUGGUGGCGAGUGGCGAACGGGUGAGUAAUACAUCGGAACGUACCUUAUCGUGGGGGAUAACGCAGCGAAAGCUGUUCUAAUACCUCAUACGACCUGAGGGGGAAAGCGGGGGAGCGAAAGACCUCGCGCGAUUAGAGCGGCCGAUGCCUGAUUAGCAUGUUGGGGGGGUAAAAGCCCACCAAGGGGACGAUCAGUAGCUGGUCUGAGAGGACGAUCAGCCACACUGGGACUGAGACACGGCCCAGACUCCUACGGGAGGCAGCAGUGGGGAAUUUUGGACAAUGGGGGCAACCCUGAUCCAGCAAUGCCGCGUGAGUGAAGAAGGCCUUCGGGUUGUAAAGCUCUUUUGUCAGGGAAGAAACACCGGCUCUAACACAGUCCGGGAAUGACGGUACCUGAAGAAUAAGCACCGGCUAACUACGUGCCAGCCGCCGCAGUAA
Molecule: ribosomal RNA, 501 nt
Filed under: uncultured bacterium
Lineage: Bacteria
Description: partial 16S ribosomal RNA
Rfam family: Bacterial small subunit ribosomal RNA
Source: RNAcentral